ACAUUAUUCUGUGUACAGUGUUUCAGCCUGCGUGAAGAUGAGGGCGACUAUCUGCUGCUGCCUGUUGGCCUUUGUUCUGAGCUUUAAUGUCACCGCAGGAAUAAAUCAUGUAGUAGUCGAGGAGAAGAGCUUUGUCUUUCUGCCAUGUCCUCACCCUGCGGAGGGUAAAGUGACGUGGAGCAGAGAGAGAAACGGAAACAGAGUUGACAUAUUUAUAAUUGAUGGUGACGGAGAAAUAAGACACAAUGAUCCCGACAGACGAUACAAUUCAGUGGGAGAUAAAUUUAUGUCACUUGUCAUUAGCAGAGUUAAUCUCUCGGACACUGGAAGAUACCUGUGUAAUAAUGAACCAGCUGUGGAGCUGAUGGUGAUCAAACCAGGAGAAACAGCCAGACUCACUGUUGUAGAAAGAACCAACAUCACUCUGAAUUGUCCCUCUGCUGUUUCUGGGUCAAGAGAUCCAACAUGGACCAGAGAAAACCGUGGAACAAACAUCACUGUUUCCAGUCAAAAUGAGAUGGAUAAGCACGCUCGAUAUUCAACCACGGAAGAGACGCUGACUAUAACAGACGUGCAGCCUGAUGACGCUGGACUGUACUACUGUGAUGAAAACCAGUUGUGCAUCUGAAUGUGACCAAAGAUGAGCAGUCUGAGAAAGUUUACUUUGUGCCUCUGGUUGUUUGUGUGGUUCUGAUUGUCCUGCUGUUGGCUGGUUUUCUGCUGCUGCUCUUCAAAUGGAUGAAAAACAGAAACCUCAGAUCUUCAAAAAGCAGAAAUGUGGAGUUAUCUGUCGCCUCCAAGAACAGGACUCCAGUCUCCACUGGUGAAGACUCCACUUACCAGAGCCUCGAUCCUGCCAGCAGGGACCAGGACCAGAUCUACUCCUCACUCACUUAACCUUACAUAACUCCCAGAAAACCACAAAUAGUUGAAUCCUCACACAAACACAAAGUGAGCUUUAAAGGGCUUGAUAGGUUUUUAUGCUAAGCUACCUGUUGAACACCGACACCCCCGGUACCGGGUGCAGCACGCGAUCGUCAAAACUGCUGACUUUUACGAUUUUUGCCGUUAUUUUUAAAAAUAUCUCCGGGCGCCAACUUGAUUAUUGUGCAAUACCCGGGAGCUGUGCCUGCCUUCUCUCGCCUUUUUCUACAGAACAGGAAAAGUGCCGCUUUAAAACACACGGUCUUUUUGCGGCCUGGUAGCCGACUUGUAGGAGCUACAUAGAUGUUUUGUUAUUUGGAACUUGAUUGUAUGGACAGAAAUAGUGUUUUAAAGAUAACUCCCAAUAAAAGUCAACAUCUAAACAGUAAAUGUUGCCAAAAUAUAGACAUUCACCUGGUAUAUUUUGAAUAUAUUGUAUGAUAACUGUUGUAUUUUAGUUUAUUUUCAUAAAAUUUACAGUUACAAUUGCA
Molecule: long non-coding RNA, 1415 nt
Organism: Micropterus salmoides (largemouth bass)
Lineage: Eukaryota; Metazoa; Chordata; Actinopteri; Centrarchiformes; Centrarchidae
Exons: 5
Source: RefSeq, a predicted model, not a curated record